This 69-nucleotide transfer RNA is filed under the name Urocitellus parryii (Arctic ground squirrel). RNAcentral's name for it is "Spermophilus parryii (Arctic ground squirrel) tRNA". It matches the Rfam family "tRNA". From Rfam's summary of the family: Transfer RNA (tRNA) molecules are approximately 80 nucleotides in length. Their secondary structure includes four short double-helical elements and three loops (D, anti-codon, and T loops). RNAcentral also lists the same sequence under 1 other name. Lineage: Eukaryota; Metazoa; Chordata; Mammalia; Rodentia; Sciuridae. The record is from Rfam by way of RNAcentral.
GGGGUUGUGGCUCAGAGGUAGAGCAUCUGCCUACCAUGCAGGAGGCACUGAGUUCAAUCCUCAGCACCA